RNAcentral lists this long non-coding RNA (1298 nucleotides) under Homo sapiens (human). RNAcentral describes it as "HSALNT0178758". The record is from RNAcentral. Lineage: Eukaryota; Metazoa; Chordata; Mammalia; Primates; Hominidae.
GGCUCCACCCCCACGGACCUAGGUGAGGACAGGCACUCCUGCUUUCGCUCCCAAAUGUUGCAUUUUCCAAGACCACCCUGUCCCGUCAUGCCCUCAUCCUGGGCCUAUAAAAACCAGAGACCCUAGCGGGCACACAGGCAGCCAGAUAUUGAGAGGAACACUUUGGCGGAAGAAGACACGAGUGGCUGGUCGAGAGCACGCUGGAGGAAGAGCCCACCGACAGACGUCAGCAUGCUGGCACACCAUCAACAGGCCUGGCAGAUAUUCGUAAACCACAAUCCUUGCAUCAGGAAUCCUACAGGCUAGUGUGAAGUGAGACAGAUAAACAGAUAAUGUUAUUUGUUUGGCAGUAACACCUAACCACAACGCUCCUGAUGUUCCAAGAGUUCUGUCCAGUUAUCAUUUCCUUUGUCUGAAGAACUUCCCUGAGCAGUUGUUGCAGAGCUGAUUGCUGAUGAAAAAUUCUCUUAGUUUUACUUCAUUUGUGAAUUCUUACUUUUACCUUCAUUCCUAAAGGUUAUUUUCACUGGACUUAGAAUUCUGAGUUGACAUUUGUUUUCUCUGAGCACUUUAGAAUGUUCUGUCUUCUGGCUUUCAUGGGUUUUGAUGCAAAGUUCACAGUCACUUGAAUCAUUGUUUCCGUAUAAGUAAUGUGUUAUUUUUUUCCGGACAUUCUCUUUUUUUUUCUUUUGCUUUUAAUUUCAGUAGUUUGGUUAUAAUGUCUAGGAAUGAAUUUCGUUGAAUUUGUCUUGCUUGGAGUUUCCGGGGCUUCCUGAAUCUGUAAGUUUAUGUUUUUCUCCAAAUUCGGAAAGUUUUCAGUUUUUAUUUCUGUAAGCAUGUUUUCUGCACUGCACUGUCUCUUCUCUUUCUCUGACUCAAAUGGCACAAUUAGACAUUUUCAUGUGGUCCCAUACAUCCCUGAGGCUGUAUUCAUUGUUUCCAGUCUUUUUUCCUCUGUGUUGUUUAAAUUGGCUAUUUUAAAAUGUCUGUCUUCAAGCUGAUUCAUUCUUUUUCUGUCAUCUCCAUUCUGCCAUAUUGAGCCCAUCCAGUGAAUGUUUAAACUUUUGGUCAUUGUGUUUUUUUAGUUGUCAGAUUUUCAUUUGGUUUUUCUUUAUAUAUUUUAUUUCUUUUCUGAGACUUCAUACCUUUCAUUUGUUUCAAGUAUGUUCCUUCUCACUUUUGGAGCACUUUUAUAUUGCUGCUUUAGUCUUUCAUAGAUAAGGUCAACAUAUGUGUCAUCUCAGUAUUGGCUAAGAUUUUCCUCAUAGGCCAAGUGUCUUGACUACUUCAAAUGUUAU